CCUACGGGUGGCUGCAGUGGGGAAUUUUGGACAAUGGGCGCAAGCCUGAACCAGCCAUGCCGCGUGCAGGAUGAAGGCCUUCGGGUUGUAAACUGCUUUUGUACGGAACGAAAAGACUCUGGUUAAUACCUGGGGUCCAUGACGGUACCGUAAGAAUAAGCACCGGCUAACUACGUGCCAGCAGCCGCGGUAAUACGUAGGGUGCGAGCGUUAAUCGGAAUUACUGGGCGUAAAGCGUGCGCAGGCGGUUAUGUAAGACAGAUGUGAAAUCCCCGGGCUCAACCUGGGAACUGCAUUUGUGACUGCAUAGCUAGAGUACGGCAGAGGGGGAUGGAAUUCCGCGUGUAGCAGUGAAAUGCGUAGAUAUGCGGAGGAACACCGAUGGCGAAGGCAAUCCCCUGGGCCUGUACUGACGCUCAUGCACGAAAGCGUGGGGAGCAAACAGGAUUAGAUACCCUGGUAGUC
Molecule: ribosomal RNA, 465 nt
Filed under: uncultured Comamonadaceae bacterium
Lineage: Bacteria; Pseudomonadati; Pseudomonadota; Betaproteobacteria; Burkholderiales; Comamonadaceae
Description: bacterial SSU rRNA
Rfam family: Bacterial small subunit ribosomal RNA
Source: RNAcentral